GCCCUCGUAGCUCAACGGAUAGAGCGCUAACUCCGCAAGUUAGAGGUUGCAGGUUCAAGUCCUGUCGGGGGCA
This 73-nucleotide transfer RNA is filed under the name Actinomycetales bacterium. RNAcentral describes it as "tRNA-Ala". It matches the Rfam family "tRNA". From Rfam's summary of the family: Transfer RNA (tRNA) molecules are approximately 80 nucleotides in length. The record is from RNAcentral. Lineage: Bacteria; Bacillati; Actinomycetota; Actinomycetes; Actinomycetales.